AAUGAAUGCUGAAUUGAAGCUCACAGUGUGUGUGUGUGUGUGUUGUGUGUGUGUGUGUGUGUGUGUGUGUGUGUGUGUACGCAGAGGGGUGGGCAACAUUGAUCCAACCUAUCAUUGUAUCUGUGAUUUCAUGUUAUGAUAUAAUUCACUGCAGUGA
Sander lucioperca (pikeperch) is the source of this 157-nucleotide long non-coding RNA. RefSeq lists it as uncharacterized. The transcript is spliced from 4 exons. Lineage: Eukaryota; Metazoa; Chordata; Actinopteri; Perciformes; Percidae. The record is from RefSeq and is a predicted model, not a curated record.